GUUUCCAAUUACCCAGGAUCAUCUGUCGUUGUUUCGAGCCAAAUUCUAACUUUUUUCUGUGUUCUUUUAUCUAAUUUCAUUUUCUUUUGGUAAUUUUUAUCCCAAUAAAGCAGUACUUGGAACCUUGCUUUGACUUUCAAGUCUGUUCAACUCGUGGAACUUCAGAUUGUGUCGAUACAAGUUUGAUGUUGGUGCUCUUUCAUUCUCUUACACUCAUCGAUGUGUAUAUG
This 230-nucleotide unclassified non-coding RNA is filed under the name Hevea brasiliensis (rubber tree). Lineage: Eukaryota; Viridiplantae; Streptophyta; Magnoliopsida; Malpighiales; Euphorbiaceae. The record is from RNAcentral.